CCCAUCAGCACUACAGCAGAGCCAGUCUCCAGCUCCCCACAGCCCUACCCUGCUGGCCAUUGGUCCUAUCAGCCAAGCCCAGCCAUAGGGGCACAUCCCAGCCUGAGAACAGGCUCUUGGUAACCAGUGAACACACUGCAGGUGACAUCCCAGCUACAGGGUCCCCUGGCUACUUCCUGUCAUCACAGUUCUCCUGCUGUGCUGGCAUCUCCCAAGUCAGGGAAGCAAUACCUGGCUAGGUUGGGAAUGCCAUCAUCCAUUAAACUUCCAGCAGAAGACUUUUCUCUGAGAGCUGGUUGCUAAUUUGAGACAAGUUGUUAAUGAGGUGCAGGUAUAUACCCUCAGCCAGCUGUCUUGUACCAUUUUGUUCCCUGGAAUUAGGUGUGGCAUUCACUUCCAGCACCCCUGAAGGCAGUAUGCUGGGGUUUUGGGUUUAAGCAUGCUGGGCUUGAACUAACAAGGCAGCAGCGUUGCUACAUCUGCUCCGUCUGAAGCUGUAUGAUACUAAUUCAUUUUCAUUUUCCUCCUACAGCUUCAGCCACUGGAAAUAAAGGGGUGUAAAGAACGUCAUUCCUUGUCAUUGUGGUUACAGAAAAUCCUGGAAAUGCAACUGAGAGUACAUGUAGCUUCAAAAAUCAGGAACCGAAACAAACAAAACCGUGCAACAUUUAUUAAUAAGUUUCAGUUAAGUCUCCCUGGUUUCAAGCCCAGUCACACGAUUUCUCUAGGGGGAGGCAGGAGGAAAGUGAAUUUAUGACUGCUGAAUGUUUGAGCCUGUCAGAAUUGUAUUGAAUACUACAAAAAAGUGGAUGGCUAGAAAUACAUUUGGGUGUGAAUAAGCUGUUUCCUCCACAGGUCUGGUUUACACUGGCAGGGUGUGCUUAACGCUUGACUGGAGAAAAAAAAUGUGACAGACAGGAUGGUUUCUUACAAGCUCCUCAGGGAAUUUAAAGACAAGCUCUGUUCUUCUUCCCUUUAAUUCACCCUCUGGUCACCGGCAGAACAAUUUAGAUUCAAGCUUUGGGUUUAGGAGAAUUUCUGGUAGAAGGGGAAGGGUUAAUUUGUUUACUUGUGGUUUUCUAUUUAUUUUGUUUUACUUUUUUAUGCCCUGAUGUGAAUUAUCCGUUUUGGCAAGUCAGUGAGAACAGUUGCAUGUACUUGGUAUUUUCUGUCACAUACACUAUUAUUAGUAAGAAACACAUUUCCUUUUGGGGCGCUAAGGACAAAAAUAAGGCUGUUCACAUCACCACCCCCCUUAUUAACUCUGUUAAAGCAGUCGUGCUGGCAUUUAAGAGAACUGGCAAAUGCAUUUGUUCAGCUGCAAAUGUGAUGCAUUCAACGUUCUUUUCACAUGAAGAAGAAAACAGGGGCUUUUAAGCACAGGGAAUAUAAUAGCCAAGCUUUGGUAAUGAUUUCUAAUAUUUUAAAGAGAGGAGAGGGGAAAAAGAUCUCAUUUACUUGUUUCAGUUUGAAGGAAAGGGAACAGCUCUAUUACCGAAAAUCUCCUCUGGAGCUUUCAGUGCUACUUGGUGCACAUUUUCUCUCCAUGUGCAGACAGAUCUGCCAUCAGUGGCAACUCAUUGGGCUGUGGCUUGGACUUUGUGUGCAAUAUGGACAGUAUUGCUUCAUCACCUAAGCACAAGGACAGGACAUGUCUCUGCAGCACAGUUUAUCCAUUUCUAGGGCAGGAUAACUUUUCUAAGAAUGAGUCCUGUCAUGAUGCCCAGAUGCUGUUGAGCUCUUUUCUUUUGUCUGCAGUGCUGUCUAUCAUCAGUCAUACCAGCAUGGUGGGUCAUUGGGUCAUCUUGGGUACCCAAGCAACCCAGAUCAUGCGGUGCAGAAAUUUGCUUCCUUUCAAGGUUCUUUGGUCACUGGCAUUGGUUUUAAAUUUGGCCCAAAUUAGGUUGAUUUGAAACUGUUGCAGUGUUUUCCAACUCUAUCAUACUUCCUUUUCUACUGAUACUGAUAAAACAGAAUUCUUUGACUCUCCAGAACAGACUUCUUGUGCUCAUCCCUCACUACUUGGUACUUAUCUACUUGUCUCCAUUUGUUGUGGAGAAAGCUGGCGGUUCUAAAUCCAAGUAGGGGUUUAAUGUUGCCUUUCAACAUUGAGAGGAAUGAAAUGCAGUGGUGGAAAAUGCUACAGUAACUGAUGUACAGGACACUUGUUUAUUUUUAUUUUUUUUAAACCAAAAAUGCCCAAGAAGCUGGUAGUGAUAGCAAGCAAAAUCUUUCUGGCUGAUGGGGACAGAAAAGUCAUAGAGAUAAGGCAAAGAGACAGAGAAGUUUACUUUACACUUAGCAAUGAGGUAUUUUUUCCAUCUGUUUCAAGGACUUUGGUCUUCAUCCACCAGUCUUUAUAUAUAUAUAUAUACUAAAUAGCAUUUAGCAAGUGGCUUUUAAAAUAGGGUGAACUUUUGCAAAGGAAGUAUUUAUAGAAGUAGCUAUUUAGUUAGUAAUUUUCGGUAUUCAUUUUGCUAUUGCUGAAUAUAUGGAACAGGAUUAUUCACCCACAUUACCCAGCUGCUUCUGUUUGAUAACACAAUAAAGAUUGCGAGGUAAGUGUCUUUCCGUGGUAAUGACUGUGAUGUCACGAUUCAUGUGAUGUCACAGGUAUGAAGAAGUGGGCUCCUUAAGCAAGAGUUGUUUUUGAGACAGAAAAUCCCAAAAUAUAAAUGUCUUGCAUUAUUGGUCAAAUGGUAGAUUAAAAUGCAAUUCAAUUAAGGAAUAUUGCAAAAAAUUAAUUUUCUGUGACGCACUUGAAAAAUGCUUCCCGAUAUUGGAGUUCACUAAAAGCACAAUAGUACCUUAUUAAAAGAAGCUGUGGUACAUUUCCAACUAUUCUUUUCCUGUGGAUGAGACUUGGUGACUCCAGAAGUUUAUAGAAGGUGAUACAUUACAAUGCCUAGCAAAGAAUAUGUUUGGGGGGGGUGGGGUUGGGAUUUUUUUUCAUUUAGCUUGCUGGCAGUUGCCAGCUGAACUGGAUAUGCACUUGCAUUUGGAAGUUCUCUGACCUCCCUGUAAGCUGUGACUUACAGAAUUGUAAACUUGACACACAUUUGGAUAAGAUUUUUCUGGUUCUGCAGAUCUGUGGAGCUGCAAUGAAGCUAUGCAAGGGAAUAUUCAGAAAUGUAAGUUUUAAGUGAGGUGUACAAACCAGUAUCACUAGAUGCUUCAGUGGGUGUUUUGUGUAGAAGUCCUGUAACAUUGUUUGAGUUGAUCUAACCCAAAAUGCUAUUGGUUCUUCUCUUCAGAAGCCCAUUGAGAUAAUGUACCAUUUCUCUGUCUCAGUAAUGGGAAGAAUCUCUUGAGCUGGACGUGUGCAUCACACAGCUGGCUCUGAACUCUGCGCUGGAUAAUAGGCAAACUUGCCUCUCAUUCAUUUGCAGCUGAAGACUGGGACUUUUCACUGCUCUGUGACAUCAGGUCAGCCUCUUUGGUCAUCCAUUGACCAGCCUCAGCUGGCUUUUGGGAUCCAGAACAGGGCAGAGACCAUGCAUGCCAAAACCUUGCUGACUAACCCCACACUGACCAGCUAGAGCUUGAGAUGCCAGAAGGAGCCUGCCUCUGGGAUAAUUCAUGGCUUUGAGUGCUGGACAGACAGCACACAACACCAUGGGUAAGCUGCAUGAGGCCAGCACUUCUGGAAUGACAAGGCAGAGAGAAGAACUGCUGGAACUGAGUUUUCUGGGAAAAUGGAAACAGAUAAAAUGGAGAAUCCCCUGGAUUUGCCAGUCCAGCAAAAGUUACCUCCAACUUCAGGUAGAAAGAAGGAAUGGAAGGAAGAGGCAUUGAUCUAGUACUCACUGCUGGGCUGAAAUAUCAAAACCAGGAGAGAGAGUCAAUGAUUUCUACAGCACCCCAAAUUAAAAGCUAUCCUCAAAUGCUC
Non-coding RNA from Cyanistes caeruleus (blue tit), 3889 nucleotides. The record is from RefSeq and is a predicted model, not a curated record. Lineage: Eukaryota; Metazoa; Chordata; Aves; Passeriformes; Paridae.